UACGUAGGGGGCAAGCGUUGUCCGGAUUCAUUGGGCGUAAAGGGUGCGUAGGCGGCGCGGUAAGUCGGGUGUGAAAUCUCGGAGCCUAACUCCGAAACUGCAUUCGAUACUGCCGUGCUUGAGGACUGGAGAGGAGACUGGAAUUUACGGUGUAGCGGUGAAAUGCGUAGAUAUCGUAAGGAAGACCAGUGGCGAAGGCGGGUCUCGUGGACAGUUCCUGACGCUGAGGCACGAAGGUCAGGGGAGCAAAUGGG
This 254-nucleotide ribosomal RNA is filed under the name uncultured bacterium. RNAcentral describes it as "partial 16S ribosomal RNA". It matches the Rfam family "Bacterial small subunit ribosomal RNA", at positions 524 to 776 of the family's 1533-position model. The record is from RNAcentral.